This 1071-nucleotide unclassified non-coding RNA is filed under the name Neodiprion lecontei (redheaded pine sawfly). RNAcentral describes it as "uncharacterized LOC124294944, transcript variant X5". The record is from RNAcentral. Lineage: Eukaryota; Metazoa; Arthropoda; Insecta; Hymenoptera; Diprionidae.
CUCCGAGUCAAUCCGAGCACGACCGAACCGGCGGCCAUUUUGCAACUCUAGAUACGAGGUUCGAACGUCGUGAAGUUCGGACGUAGCGUCUCGGUCGCCGCGGAUUUAAUUUUGGGAGUGACUCCGAUAGUGAAAUAUUGAAUUAAAAUGCAGUCAACAACGCAGUCAGAAAUCAACGCCUUGACGACAACCCGGUGCAGCUGCAAAUACGUCGGAGCAAAGUAAGCUGAUGCUGUUCAGGCGCUGGGCGACGGAUACUGCGAUGUUAUCAUUUCUCUCCACUGCUCCAGGCGUAUUAUUCCCGGUCCGAACAACAAACAGAGUCGAUUAAUUGGCUGUUCCAGAAACAAAAGAACAGAGACAUAGACGUCGCGUCUGCAUCUAUCGCAGCGGCAAAAAACCGUCUGGACCUUCUCUCCGGGUGGUCCUCGAAAUUACGGACCAGAUAUUUGGACGGCUGCGGGCUUCUGGAAAUAUCGGCACGACGCGAAUGGGAUUCUCCUUCCGUUAUCGAUUUCGCCCAUGGUGAUCGAGCCUGAUGGUGCGGUAAACUCUGGAGAGAAGGGAAAAAAGAAUGGCUUUUAUUUACGAGGGGCACAGAGGCGUCCUGCCGACAAGCUGACUGCAAAGAAACUCGGAGUUGAAUACCGCGAGGAACGGGGUUAGGGGUGGCAGGAGCAACUCGCUGGGGGAAGAAGAAACGUAUUUCCCGGCGGGAAGACGCAAGGAAUUACCGUGGAAAGGAGGAAAAUAAUGAAAUCUCUUCUUAAAAUCUGUUAUUCCGCGUGAUUGAUUUGUACGACACUUCCUGGAUUAAUUCGACCCUCAGGAGUGCAAGAACGGAAUCAAAAACCACGAACGACCAAGAGUUAAGGAAAUGCAAUAAAACUUCGGUAAAAUUUGAUUAGUUUAUUCAGUUGAUACAGGUUACAUAAAAUACAUAAUACAUCAUAUGCCAGUAGAGUUGCACUGAUAUGCAGGUCAAGAACCGUGGUACUGGUUGAGACUAUGUAAAUAAUUAUAUAAUAUAAAGAAUAUCAUGUUCUACUUAACACGAUGUAUACUGUAAAC